UCUUUUUUCUUCCCCCAAGCUCCCGUAACCUUUUUCCUUUUUUUUCGUGGCCUUCUUUUCUUUUCUUCCAACCUCUCUUUUUUCCGCCGCUCCUCUGUUUCUUUUUUCCUUGCUUGUUCUUUAUCCGUUCUGCCCAGACGUUGCAAUCAUCUUAUCUCUCUGUUUUCUCUUUCUCAGCCCUUCUCUGUUUUUCUUGUUUCAGCCGUAGCUCCUCUCCCCAAAACUC
Molecule: long non-coding RNA, 226 nt
Filed under: Coffea arabica (coffee)
Lineage: Eukaryota; Viridiplantae; Streptophyta; Magnoliopsida; Gentianales; Rubiaceae
Description: long non-coding RNA (CARA_LNC007180)
Source: RNAcentral